UGUGCCUCACUUUGAUAAUAUGUAUUUUGAAAAUAAUCGAAAACUGUUUAGUACUAAGGUUGACAGUGCUCUUCAGAUAAAGAUAAAGUCUUAUCCUUUUCUAGAACAUGUAGGACUUUUUCUUUUCUAGAUUAUACUGUCUAUGUAUUUUGUUUAUAUAGUUUCUCGAGUUUUGAUUAUUAAGACAUAUUAAAUAACAUUACUAACCUCUGUUUUAAAUAAAAUGGCAUGAGCUUGCAUA
Long non-coding RNA from Arabidopsis lyrata subsp. lyrata, 241 nucleotides. RefSeq lists it as uncharacterized. The record is from RefSeq and is a predicted model, not a curated record. The transcript has 2 exons. Lineage: Eukaryota; Viridiplantae; Streptophyta; Magnoliopsida; Brassicales; Brassicaceae.